GAUGAACGCUGGCGGCGUGCCUAAUACAUGCAAGUCGAGCGAACGGACGAGAAGCUUGCUUCUCUGAUGUUAGCGGCGGACGGGUGAGUAACACGUGGAUAACCUACCUAUAAGACUGGGAUAACUUCGGGAAACCGGAGCUAAUACCGGAUAAUAUUUUGAACCGCAUGGUUCAAAAGUGAAAGACGGUCUUGCUGUCACUUAUAGAUGGAUCCGCGCUGCAUUAGCUAGUUGGUAAGGUAACGGCUUACCAAGGCAACGAUGCAUAGCCGACCUGAGAGGGUGAUCGGCCACACUGGAACUGAGACACGGUCCAGACUCCUACGGGAGGCAGCAGUAGGGAAUCUUCCGCAAUGGGCGAAAGCCUGACGGAGCAACGCCGCGUGAGUGAUGAAGGUCUUCGGAUCGUAAAACUCUGUUAUUAGGGAAGAACAUAUGUGUAAGUAACUGUGCACAUCUUGACGGUACCUAAUCAGAAAGCCACGGCUAACUACGUGCCAGCAGCCGCGGUAAUACGUAGGUGGCAAGCGUUAUCCGGAAUUAUUGGGCGUAAAGCGCGCGUAGGCGGUUUUUUAGUCUGAUGUGAAAGCCCACGGCUCAACCGUGGAGGGUCAUUGGAAACUGGAAAACUUGAGUGCAGAAGAGGAAAGUGGAAUUCCAUGUGUAGCGGUGAAAUGCGCAGAGAUAUGGAGGAACACCAGUGGCGAAGGCGACUUUCUGGUCUGUAAUUGACGCUGAUGUGCGAAAGCGUGGGGAUCAAACAGGAUUAGAUACCCUGGUAGUCCACGCCGUAAACGAUGAGUGCUAAGUGUUAGGGGGUUUCCGCCCCUUAGUGCUGCAGCUAACGCAUUAAGCACUCCGCCUGGGGAGUACGACCGCAAGGUUGAAACUCAAAGGAAUUGACGGGGACCCGCACAAGCGGUGGAGCAUGUGGUUUAAUUCGAAGCAACGCGAAGAACCUUACCAAAUCUUGACAUCCUUUGACAACUCUAGAGAUAGAGCUUUCCCCUUCGGGGGACAAAGUGACAGGUGGUGCAUGGUUGUCGUCAGCUCGUGUCGUGAGAUGUUGGGUUAAGUCCCGCAACGAGCGCAACCCUUAAGCUUAGUUGCCAUCAUUAAGUUGGGCACUCUAAGUUGACUGCCGGUGACAAACCGGAGGAAGGUGGGGAUGACGUCAAAUCAUCAUGCCCCUUAUGAUUUGGGCUGCACACGUGCUACAAUGGACAAUACAAAGGGCAGCGAAACCGUGAGGUCAAGCAAAUCCCAUAAAGUUGUUCUCAGUUCGGAUUGUAGUCUGCAACUCGACUACAUGAAGCUGGAAUCGCUAGUAAUCGUAGAUCAGCAUGCUACGGUGAAUACGUUCCCGGGUCU
RNAcentral lists this ribosomal RNA (1371 nucleotides) under uncultured bacterium. RNAcentral's name for it is "bacterial SSU rRNA". It matches the Rfam family "Bacterial small subunit ribosomal RNA", at positions 28 to 1381 of the family's 1533-position model. The record is from RNAcentral.